GGCUCCCUGAAAUGUUGGCCAGUCAGUGUAGUCCUCGAGCCGUGAGUAAGUAGCCAGGGGGUACCGAGCUGUUGUCCAUGUGCAGGUCCGCAUCAGCAGCGGAAAGCCUAAGGCAUCACCUGGGCCUCCGCCUUGAACCGCGCGGUUCAGGGCAAAUCUGACAGCCGCAUUUCGGGGAGUUU
RNAcentral lists this non-coding RNA (182 nucleotides) under Gammaproteobacteria bacterium. RNAcentral describes it as "6S RNA". It matches the Rfam family "6S / SsrS RNA". From Rfam's summary of the family: E. coli 6S RNA was the first non coding RNA to be sequenced, but its function was unknown until recently. It consists of 184 nucleotides that fold into an extended hairpin structure with a large single-stranded internal bulge. The record is from RNAcentral. Lineage: Bacteria; Pseudomonadati; Pseudomonadota; Gammaproteobacteria.